Molecule: long non-coding RNA, 2058 nt
Organism: Crocodylus porosus (Australian saltwater crocodile)
Lineage: Eukaryota; Metazoa; Chordata; Crocodylia; Crocodylidae
Source: Ensembl
UGAGACGUGCUCUGAAGCUCCUCUUGCAUUUGAGUUUGAUUGCAUAGAAGCUGUUUCAAAUGGCAUCAGAAGGACAAAGCAAGGAUAAGGAGGGCCAAUCUGAGGAUCUUCCAACUCCUUUCCAGGGCUGCAGAACAUUACAGUGGGGAGCUAUACUCUCUGCAGUGAAAGACCAAAUUCCAUCUCUGGACUCUGACACUUCAGUGUCUGACGGUGAAGAUGAUGGGGAGCUCUUCAUUUUCCAGCGAGAUGAACCCAAUCUGAUCCCUGACUUGUCAGAAGAACUUGAAGAUUUUUCUCUUGAACACCUGGACAUGCAGCAAAUCCUAGAAACUAGAAGACACCCAAGAGAGAUGUGGAACAGAAGUGGAGAAAGAUUAGAUCUUCAGGAAGAAAUGGAUGACACUCAAACUGUGGCAAGAGAACGCACACCAUUGUCUAGGAAUAAGUCAGAUGCAUUUACCAGCUUGACUGGAGAAACUCUAGGCAAAAGUGGAGCAUUCCUUCCAGAAUUACUUGUAGAUCCCACAGAUGAAGUUCAUAAAAUUAAAGAAUUAGGCAGUGAAAAAAAGGAGGAAACAGAGGGAUCCUGGAUGAAUAACAAACCAUCUAGGAGAAAGCCGUAUUUUGAUGAAUCAAACAGCAAUGCGGAGGAGAGAAGAAAGAUGAUAGAAACAAAAAUACUCUCUAAAGUAACCUUGGAGCCAUCUCCUAGAAAUGUGGGUCACCCAGAGCUAAAAAUCAACUCAUCCUUGGAGACCAAUAGUGACAAUUUAGACAGAUUCCCUCAUGCAGGAAAUGAGCAAAGAGCCUCUUCAGGUGAACACCCUCGAGGGCUAACACUCUUUUCUUUGCAGGAUAUCGAGAAGUGGGAUCUAGACAAGAUUCUCAAGAACAUGAAACAUCAGGAUGAUGGAACACACUCAGAAGAACCUGCUUUCCCUUCAGUGGAUCACAGUAACUUCACAAUACAUGUUAACCUUGCUGAAAAUGUGUACAAAUCAGUUCAGAAUAGAGACUGCAAACCCCCUCAGUCCCUCAGAUCCAACCGCUGCUCUUCUUUAUACUGCUCCCUUUACUCUCUUCUUCACUGUUUGCAAUGAUGGCACCUUGACCACUUCCUUUAGAUGUUGGUUCCAAUGCUUAACUUCUCUUAAUUUCAAGAAUUUUCCUUACUGAUUCUAGCCUAAACUUUCCUUUACCUUUAAGCCACUGCUGCUUAGCCUGUCAAGGCAGAAUGUGUCUUUCAAUAUAUAAAUUGUGCUGAUCCUCUGCUGAUUUAUGCCUCACCCAAAUGGGUCUGUGUUGCUUAGAAGUUAAAAUAAGAUUCCUUCAGGCAAGGAGGGACCACCCCUUGGAAGGGACCAGCGUUGCACCCAGUUAGAGCUGUCUCUGGUCUGUAGUAGGUAUGUAAGCUGCUACAGGUAGGGUUCCAUCUCCCGGUGCUAUAGCAUUUUUACAGGCUGGAAAACAGGUCAUCAUACCUACUGCCAUCUUAGAAUCUGAUCCACUUCCCAUUUGUCAAUUUUCCAAGUCUUCCAAGUCUCUAGGAUCUGGCUGAUUGUUUCUGGUUGAUCUAAGCUCUAUGACUGUGCUUGGGGAAUAGUGGUAGGGCUUAAGAUAAUCUAGUGGUUCCCAGUCUGGGUGCCACAACACCCUAGGCUGCCUUGAGAAUGUUUCAGGGGUGCUAUGCUCUGCACUGUUCGAUGUGCAGACAUGAUUCACAAGAUAAACCAAGAUAAAACAAGAUAAACCAAGAGGUUUCACACAGGAAUCCAUAGUGUCAAAACCAUUCUGACUUGUUGUGGUCUUUCUGAGUUCUUUACAACAUAAGAGUUACUCUGUUUUCUUUCUGUAGUAAAAAAUUGAGUGAAAGCUAAGAGCUGACUCUGAAGGAGUCCUGGCGUCUAUCAGGAGGUGCCUUAAGUUUAAAUACAUUGAGAGCUAUUGUACUAGUGGAUCUACAUGGGAAAUGGAUAAAUAGAAUUAAUCAAUGAGAGACAUGUCAACUCUGAAGAUAAGUGGAAAUCAGAGAGUAUGCCGGCUACACUAUGGUCA